UAGGGAAUCUUCCGCAAUGGACGCAAGUCUGACGGAGCAACGCCGCGUGAGUGAAGAAGGAUUUCGGUUCGUAAAACUCUGUUGUUAGAGAAGAACAGCGCAUAGAGUAACUGUUAUGCGUGUGACGGUAUCUAACCAGAAAGCCACGGCUAACUACGUGCCAGCAGCCGCGGUACUACGUAGGUGGCAAGCGUUAUCCGGAAUUAUUGGGCGUAAAGCGCGCGUAGGCGGUUUUUUAAGUCUGAUGUGAAAGCCCCCGGCUCAACCGGGGAGGGUCAUUGGAAACUGGUUGACUUGAGUGCAGAAGAGGAGAGUGGAAUUCCAGGUGUAGCGGUGAAAUGCGUAGAUAUAUGGAGGAACACCAGUGGCGAAGGCGACUCUCUGGUCUGUAACUGACGCUGAGGCUCGAAAGCGUGGGUAGCAAACAGG
Molecule: ribosomal RNA, 429 nt
Filed under: Bacteroidota bacterium
Lineage: Bacteria; Pseudomonadati; Bacteroidota
Description: Bacteroidetes bacterium partial 16S ribosomal RNA
Rfam family: Bacterial small subunit ribosomal RNA
Source: RNAcentral